RNAcentral lists this unclassified non-coding RNA (631 nucleotides) under Hevea brasiliensis (rubber tree). The record is from RNAcentral. Lineage: Eukaryota; Viridiplantae; Streptophyta; Magnoliopsida; Malpighiales; Euphorbiaceae.
GAAAUGGUCUGUGCAAGUGAAUAUCGCUCAUAUUUGAUCUUGAUAUGAGUGAUAGGAUUAUGAUCCUCUUGACACUUUCAUUUUCUGGCUGCAAGACUGAUGAACUUUUCAGGCACUGAUACGAUGUCCUCUACAAGAUUGUAUCUGUUGUCCUGAGCUACUAAUGAAUAUUCCAGUGGGUACCUGUUUGGAGUAGAGCACUAUUUAAUGAGUAGCAAUGUUGUAAUUUGAUCUAGUUUACCAAUCAGAGCAAUGCUUUGGAGUCUAUUUUUUCAAUGUGAUUAUCCUGCUUUGUGCAUUGCAAAAUAAAGAAGGUAAUGUGGGUGUUGUUAGACUCGGCUAUGGCUGGAGCCCAAAUCAAAAUCAGACCAGUUAAAUUUGGAUUUGGACCCAUGGUUCCAAAUUGGCUCAAAACCGCGACCCUAAGAGCUGGCCUCGGCCCUCUUUCUCGAACCUUAAACUGGAUCAGAACUGAUAAUUCGGCUCGAUUCAAUCAGAAGUGGAGGGUCCUGUUGAAUGUGGAUUGGGCUUAUAUAAUAAUAAUAAGCAAUUCAUUCAGCCCAACAAUGAUAAGGACAUUGUAACUUAUUUUCAGAUGGAGUUGUCCCUUUAUUUGCUUAUACAGCUCUUG